GUAGACGGCAGCACUGUUUCUGAUGCACGACGAAAAGAAAAAGAUAGCAAGGAUGCUUUCCUUGAACGAAACAGCAAGAGACCUGCAGCCCUACAAGAAAGGGGAAAGGAGUCAAAUGGGUUUGGCCUCCAAAGUGUAACAACUCAACUGGAUCUAAAUGCCCAUGAAGAGAAUGAUGGUCCUCCAAAUUGCAAACAGUUUGAUCUAAAUGGCUUCAGUUGGAGCUGAGAUAUGGCAAGAAAGCAGCUCAUGGCACAGAGAGAGAUGAACCCAAGGGAUAAUGAGAGGUUCAUAUUUAUAAACUCUAACAUAUGCCACAUAUAUCCCAACCGCAAGCUCCAUCAUAUCAGCCAUUGCAGUCAGCAAAAAAUAAGUGAUGGAUAUUGGGAUGCAGUUGAGUCACAAAAUCUAUUUGCCAGGCAGCAACUUGAGGGUGCAUUAUAAACAAGUAUGAAAGAGAUUGUCCUAGAGAAUCAGUAUGUUAUCCAAGGUUUGUCAAUGUCAUCAUUGGAAUGUAUUAAUAAGCAUUUUGGCUGAAACUGACAUAUUGUAGGUUAUGAGAAAAUAAACAGUGAAUUCAUAUUCAAAAAACCAUUCCAAAAUUAUUGCCAUGAAAAAAAAAUUAGUGAUCUUCGCACUAUAUAGCAUGCAAGAAAAUUUGAAGAUAGCAUAACAGACCAAGUUUUCUGUAGUGCAGUCGUCAAAGAGUGUCAAUCACUAGUUUAGUAGAACCAGCGACAAUUUUCAUAGUCGUCAAAGACCAAGUUUUCAAAUCAGAUAAUAAAUUAUGUACAGCUGCACCUCAAAAACAGUCCUAACACUAGUUUGAGAAUUUAUAUUCACACUGUCAGUUUCACAACGGCUGCUGCACCACAAACAAGGUAUCUAUCCAUUAAAUAGCAGUGAAAAAUAUUUAAUCUGAAGAUAGAGAACAGUAAAAUCAGAUGAGCAUGGCAGAAUUUGCAGGCAGUCAGGAGGUAGAAAUUUAUACUAUUCUGCAUGCCAAUAUUGUAUUGAGUCUAUGAAUUAUUUUUUCACUAUAUUUUGUAAGCAAUAAUAGGACAUAAAUGCACUCAAGGGGUGCACACAAGUUUCUUUUUUGUUGAAAGGACCAAGCAUGGCACCUCUUGAUCAAAGUUUGCAAGAAAACUUCGUCGUUUGUGCACACACAAGAAACAACAUAGAGGACUGCAAUCAUGAUUCGUGACCUGACAGUAUCAACUAACAAAUCUUUGGGUAGCUCGCGAACCUGAAAGUUAAAACCUUGUUAAACAAGACCAGGUUAUCAUCCACCAGGUACUUUCCACCAGACCUUGGCUCAUGCUUCUAAAUUCAAAUGAUGUGUUAAAUUCAUUUUGCCAGCAUGGAUCCAGAGAAAAAGUUCGCCUACGUGGUUGGAGUCACCUAAUCAAUAACAUGACUCAAAAUAUUAGCUUAUAUGUAAUAAGGUUCAACAAAUCAUCGGGUAAAUCCAAC
RNAcentral lists this long non-coding RNA (1476 nucleotides) under Phoenix dactylifera (date palm). Its description in RNAcentral is "long non-coding RNA (PDAC_LNC002287)". The record is from RNAcentral. Lineage: Eukaryota; Viridiplantae; Streptophyta; Magnoliopsida; Arecales; Arecaceae.